This 253-nucleotide ribosomal RNA is filed under the name uncultured bacterium. RNAcentral's name for it is "partial 16S ribosomal RNA". It matches the Rfam family "Bacterial small subunit ribosomal RNA", at positions 524 to 776 of the family's 1533-position model. The record is from RNAcentral.
UACGUAGGUGGCAAGCGAUACUCGGAAUCACUAGGCGUAAAGCGCAGGUAGGAGGUUUGGUAAGUCUAUUGUGAAAGCUCCCGGCUUAACUGGGAGAGGUCAAUGGAAACUACCAGGCUAGAGUGCGGUAGAGGUAGCUGGAAUUCCCGGUGUAGCGGUGAAAUGCGUAGAUAUCGGGAGGAAUACCUAUGGCGAAGGCAGGUCUCUGGGCUGACACUGACGCUCAUGCACGAAAGCGUGGGGAGCAAACAGG